Molecule: long non-coding RNA, 767 nt
Organism: Eptesicus fuscus (big brown bat)
Lineage: Eukaryota; Metazoa; Chordata; Mammalia; Chiroptera; Vespertilionidae
Exons: 4
Source: RefSeq, a predicted model, not a curated record
AUAGCCGGGCCCCGGCGCCGUGGGUCUCUUUGUCUGGGGAACUGCCUCAUGGCGCCUGUGCGUGAGCUGCAGUGCCAGCCUGCCUCCAAAGGAGGGGAUGGCGGCGGUGCGGCGCCCCGGCCAUCUGUGCACGGCUCCCCGGCAGGUACUACGGGCCCUGCUGGGGCGGGGACCGCAGUCUCGGGCUGAGCAGGAGGAAUCGCCCUUACAGACUCGAGUGUCUGAUGUCUGCGUGACGCCACUGCUUGGGACUGACACAGUCCGCGGCACGGGGCACUCGGCUGGAGGCGUGUUUCUUUGAAGGCCCCGGAUUCCCGCAGGCGGGUCUACCGCGCCUUGAGGGGGCUUAAGGUGUCCACCGGUGUCAUCCUUGAGGAAAGCAUGCGUUCUGGAAGCCCCGCCAGGGCAGUGCCCUUUCAGAGAUCCACCACUGACCUGGUGGCCUGAGAGCCUGCGUUACUCCUGUUGGAGGGCUGAGAUGGCUGGGAUGCCUACGUAAUAAACGGUUCCUGCCACUUCAGGCCAUGACAAGAGCCAGGGGCUUUCUCUCUGGCUACUACGGGUUUUGCUCGAUCAAAGGAUGCUAUCUGGUGUUGGGCAGAUCCUAGGAACUCCCAUCUUUCCUGCAUUAGCCCGUGUGAGCAGCUGUCAACUUGCCGGAGGAAAAUACUGCCUAGAAAUUCGGGAACAAAUAUCAGUAGCUUUCACUUCUUUAUAUGGUUAUAUGGCUUUAUCAAAAUGAUUCCAAUAAAACAUAUUAAAGCAAA